AUGGACUAUGGUGAGACAUAUGCUCCCGUUGCUAGACUUGAGUCCAUUCGCAUCUUACUUUCUUAUGCUAAUCACCAUGAUAUCACCUUGUACCAAAUGGACAUUAAAAGUGCUUUUCUAAAUGGCAAAAUUGAGGAAGUUUAUGUUAAGCAACCUCCCGGCUUCGUCAAUCCUAAGAAACCUAAUCAUGUUUAUAAACUUCACAAAGCCCUUUAUGGUCUUAAACAAGCUCCUAGAGUAUGGUAUAAAUGCUUGACCAAGUUCCUUAUUGAAAAAGGCUUUGAAAUUGGUAAAAUUGAUUCUACUCUUUUUACUAAAAGGGUUAAUGGAGAACUAUUUGUGUGCCAAAUUUAUGUUGACGAUAUCAUAUUUGGUUCAACUAACCCUCAUUUUAGUGAGAAGUUUGAAAAACUAAUGUCGGAGAAGUUUGAGAUGUCUAUGAUGAGUGAACUCAAAUUCUUUCUCGGUUUGCAAAUCAAGCAAACUAAGGAAGGUACAUUUGUCUCUCAAACGAAGUACACUAAGGACUUAUUUAAGAAGUUCAAUAUGCAAGAAUGCAAAUGUAUGACUACACUCAUGUCUACUAGUGGACAUCUUAUUUUAACCAAAGAUGGUGAACCGGUUGAUCAAAAAGUUUAUCGCUCUAUGAUUGAUUCAUUGUUAUAUCUAUGUGCCUCUCGUCCCGAUAUUAUGCUAAGUGUGUGUAUGUGUGCACGAUAUCAAGCUGCUCCUAAAGAGUGUCAUCUUAAGGCUGUGAAAAGGAUAGUGAGAUACCUAAUCCAUACACCAAAUUUUGGCAUUUGGUAUCCUAAGAGGUCCUCUUUUGAUCUUGUUGGCUACUCUGAUUCGGACUAUGCCGGAGACAAGGUUGAUAGAAAAUCCACUUCGAAUACUUGUCAAUUCCUUGGUAGAUCUCUUGUGUCUUGGUCUUCCAAAAAAUAA
Molecule: ribosomal RNA, 942 nt
Filed under: Triticum aestivum (bread wheat)
Lineage: Eukaryota; Viridiplantae; Streptophyta; Magnoliopsida; Poales; Poaceae
Description: partial small subunit ribosomal RNA
Source: RNAcentral